RNAcentral lists this ribosomal RNA (439 nucleotides) under uncultured bacterium. RNAcentral's name for it is "bacterial SSU rRNA". It matches the Rfam family "Bacterial small subunit ribosomal RNA", at positions 30 to 481 of the family's 1533-position model. The record is from RNAcentral.
AUUGAACGCUGGCGGCAUGCCUUACACAUGCAAGUCGAACGGCAGCAUGGAAGAGCUUGCUCUUCUGAUGGCGAGUGGCGAACGGGUGAGUAAAGCAUCGGAACGUACCGUGUAAUGGGGGAUAACGUAGCGAAAGUUACGCUAAUACCGCAUACGACCUGAGGGUGAAAGCAGGGGAUCGCAAGACCUUGCGUUAUACGAGCGGCCGAUGUCAGAUUAGCUAGUUGGUAGGGUAAAGGCUUACCAAGGCGAUGAUCAGUAGCUGGUUCGAGAGGGAUGAUCAGCCANACUGGAACUGAGAUACGGUCCAGACUCCUACGGGAGCAGCAGUAAGGAAUCUUCCGCAAUGGACGAAAGUCUGACGGAGCAACGCCGCGUGCAGGAUGAAGGCUUUCGGGUCGUAAACUGCUUUUGUAUGGGAAGAUUAUGACGGUACCAU